GACAGAGGGUGCAAACGUUGCUCGGAAUUACUGGGCGUAAAGCGCGUGUAGGUGGUCUGGUCAGUCGGACGUGAAAGCCCGGGGCUCAACCCCGGAAGUGCAUUCGAUACUGCCAGGCUGGAGUACUGAAGAGGAGAGCGGAAUUCCCGGUGUAGAGGUGAAAUUCGUAGAUAUUGGGAAGAACACCGGUGGCGAAGGCGGCAACCUGGUCCUUUACUGACGCUGAGGCGCGAAAGCGUGGGGAGCAAACAGG
Molecule: ribosomal RNA, 253 nt
Filed under: uncultured bacterium
Lineage: Bacteria
Description: partial 16S ribosomal RNA
Rfam family: Bacterial small subunit ribosomal RNA
Source: RNAcentral